GACGAACGCUGGCGGCGUGCUUAACACAUGCAAGUCGAACGGAAAGGCCCUGCUUUUGUGGGGUGCUCGAGUGGCGAACGGGUGAGUAACACGUGAGUAACCUGCCCUUGACUUUGGGAUAACUUCAGGAAACUGUGGCUAAUACCGGAUAGGAGCUCCUACUGCAUGGUGGGGGUUGGAAAGUUUCGGCGGUUGGGGAUGGACUCGCGGCUUAUCAGCUUGUUGGUGGGGUAGUGGCUUACCAAGGCUUUGACGGGUAGCCGGCCUGAGAGGGUGACCGGCCACAUUGGGACUGAGAUACGGCCCAGACUCCUACGGGAGGCAGCAGUGGGGAAUAUUGCACAAUGGGGGGAAGCCUGAUGCAGCAACGCCGCGUGCGGGAUGACGGCCUUCGGGUUGUAAACCGCUUUCGCCUGUGACGAAGCGUGAGUGACGGUAAUGGGUAAAGAAGCACCGGCUAACUACGUG
This 468-nucleotide ribosomal RNA is filed under the name uncultured bacterium. Its description in RNAcentral is "partial 16S ribosomal RNA". It matches the Rfam family "Bacterial small subunit ribosomal RNA", at positions 28 to 507 of the family's 1533-position model. The record is from RNAcentral.